CUAAUUCGUAGCAUUCUUUUAGGCACUGCACACAACUAAAAAACACUCUGACUCUCACUUGUACUCUCCCCAAUUACCCUGACUGACCGAUCGACAGACACACGUACUGCGGGUAUGCCGGGGGAGACCUCACUGGAGCCGAUCCCCUCGAGUAAUUGCCUGUAGCAAUAUUGGCAUCGCUCGGGGCAUCGCUCUGAGAGUCGUUCUUGAGCCCCGGCAGCCAGCAGUACGUCGCAGCUCUGGCGAAUAAUUAUAUUUUUUCGUGUCCGCCCCCGCCAAUAAAUAAAAAGUACAAGUCGAGCGGUUUUUCGAGAGUGUGUGUGCGCGAAGAGUGUUUCUUGCGCGAAGUAGUGUGAUUUUUCCAAACAGCAAUUAAAUCAAAGAUUGCUUGUGCUAAUAAUCUGCCCAUAUACCGACCACUUUGCAUAUUAUAUAUGCGGGCAACUGCCUCUCCCAAAUUUACUUAUCGUAACGUAUACUGGCUCCCCUGAACCUGCUGGUUCAGGUCCAGGAUGGAGUUGGUUUACGUUACGAUUAGACACUUUCGUAUUGCCACCGCAGCAUACGACAAACAAAAAAAUCAAUGCCUCCAAAACAGUUCAUGUUUUUCACACUCUACGGAACACCCUGAUGCCUGAGGGUCCAUUUGCUCCUAACAUCGACGGACAGAUACUGGAAACUGUCUCCUUCCAUCCUUAUCUCGGAGUUCGCUUGGAUACGAAGCUGCAGUGCCACCACCACAUCACGGCAACUAUCUCAAAAA
This 763-nucleotide long non-coding RNA is filed under the name Drosophila guanche. Lineage: Eukaryota; Metazoa; Arthropoda; Insecta; Diptera; Drosophilidae. The record is from RNAcentral.